RNAcentral lists this ribosomal RNA (477 nucleotides) under uncultured bacterium. RNAcentral's name for it is "partial 16S ribosomal RNA". It matches the Rfam family "Bacterial small subunit ribosomal RNA", at positions 28 to 507 of the family's 1533-position model. The record is from RNAcentral.
GAUGAACGCUGGCGGCGUGCCUAACACAUGCAAGUCGAACGAAGCACCUUACCUGAUUCUUCGGAUGAAAGUUUGGUGACUGAGUGGCGGACGGGUGAGUAACGCGUGGGUAACCUGCCCUGUACAGGGGGAUAACAGCUGGAAACGGCUGCUAAUACCGCAUAAGCGCACGAGGAGACAUCUCCUUGUGUGAAAAACUCCGGUGGUACAGGAUGGGCCCGCGUCUGAUUAGCUGGUUGGCAGGGUAACGGCCUACCAAGGCAACGAUCAGUAGCCGGUCUGAGAGGAUGAACGGCCAAAUUGGAACUGAGACACGGUCCAAACUCCUACGGGAGGCAGCAGUGGGGAAUAUUGCACAAUGGGGGAAACCCUGAUGCAGCAACGCCGCGUGAGUGAAGAAGUAUUUCGGUAUGUAAAGCUAUAUCAGCAGGGAAGAUAAUGACGGUACCUGACUAAGAAGCUCCGGCUAAAUACGUG